RNAcentral lists this ribosomal RNA (253 nucleotides) under uncultured bacterium. RNAcentral describes it as "partial 16S ribosomal RNA". It matches the Rfam family "Bacterial small subunit ribosomal RNA", at positions 524 to 776 of the family's 1533-position model. The record is from RNAcentral.
UACGUAGGGGGCAAGCGUUAUCCGGAUUUACUGGGUGUAAAGGGAGCGUAGGCGGUGAUGCAAGUCAGAAGUGAAAGCCCGCAGCUCAACUGCGGGACUGCUUUUGAAACUGUAUGACUAGAUUGCAGGAGAGGUAAGUGGAAUUCCUAGUGUAGCGGUGAAAUGCGUAGAUAUUAGGAGGAACACCAGUGGCGAAGGCGGCUUACUGGACUGUAAAUGACGCUGAGGCUCGAAGGCGUGGGGAGCAAACAGG